Molecule: ribosomal RNA, 651 nt
Filed under: uncultured bacterium
Lineage: Bacteria
Description: bacterial SSU rRNA
Rfam family: Bacterial small subunit ribosomal RNA
Source: RNAcentral
CGGGCUAAACCCGCGUACAUGCCCCCGGGGCAUCCCGGAGGCAGGAAAGGCUUCGGCCGGACAGGGAUGGGCGUGCGGCGCAUUAGGCAGUAGGCGGGGUAACGGCCCACCUAACCGACGAUGCGUAGGGGUUCUGAGAGGAAGGUCCCCCACACUGGUACUGAGACACGGACCAGACUCCUACGGGAGGCAGCAGUGAGGAAUAUUGGUCAAUGGUCGGGAGACUGAACCAGCCAAGCCGCGUGAGGGAGGAAGGUACAGAGUAUCGUAAACCUCUUUUGUCAGGGAACAAAGACUGGGAGCGUCCCCGGAUGAGUGUACCUGAAGAAAAAGCAUCGGCUAACUCCGUGCCAGCAGCCGCGGUAAUACGGAGGAUGCGAGCGUUAUCCGGAUUUAUUGGGUUUAAAGGGUGCGCAGGCGGUCUGUUAAGUCAGCGGUCAAAGCCCGGGGCUCAACCCCGGCCCGCCGUUGAAACUGGCAGUCUCGAGUUGGAGAGAAGUAUGCGGAAUGCGCGGUGUAGCGGUGAAAUGCAUAGAUAUCGCGCAGAACUCCGAUUGCGAAGGCAGCAUGCCGGCUCCACACUGACGCUGAGGCACGAAAGCGUGGGUAUCGAACAGGAUUAGAUACCCUGGUAGUCCACGCAGUAAACGA